AGCUCGUGUCGUGAGAUGUGGGUUAAGUCCGUAACGAGCGCAACCCUUGUCCUUAGUUACCAGCACGUUAUGGUGGGCACUCUAAGGAGACUGCCGGUGACAAACCGGAGGAAGGUGGGGAUGACGUCAAGUCAUCAUGGCCCUUACGGCCUGGGCUACACACGUGCUACAAUGGUCGGUACAAAGGGUUGCCAAGCCGCGAGGUGGAGCUAAUCCCAUAAAACCGAUCGUAGUCCGGAUCGCAGUCUGCAACUCGACUGCGUGAAGUCGGAAUCGCUAGUAAUCGUGAAUCAGAAUGUCACGGUGAAUACGUUCCCGGGCCUU
RNAcentral lists this ribosomal RNA (324 nucleotides) under uncultured Pseudomonas sp. Its description in RNAcentral is "bacterial SSU rRNA". It matches the Rfam family "Bacterial small subunit ribosomal RNA", at positions 1057 to 1382 of the family's 1533-position model. Lineage: Bacteria; Pseudomonadati; Pseudomonadota; Gammaproteobacteria; Pseudomonadales; Pseudomonadaceae. The record is from RNAcentral.